Long non-coding RNA from Hevea brasiliensis (rubber tree), 1798 nucleotides. RefSeq lists it as uncharacterized. The transcript is spliced from 2 exons. NCBI's taxonomy places the organism in Eukaryota, Viridiplantae, Streptophyta, Magnoliopsida, Malpighiales, Euphorbiaceae. The record is from RefSeq and is a predicted model, not a curated record.
AAGCCUCAGUUCAAUACAUUCUGCAUUUCUCUCAUCAGUUUGAAGCAGUUCAAUUCUCUUAUAUCAGAAGCAAUGGGGUUGCUCAUAACCUUGCAAAGCUUGAUUCAAGAACCAGCUUCCAUGUAAUUGGCUUAUAGCCAUUCCUUCACCCAUUCUGAAGGCUCUUGUCUCUGAUGGAUGUAGGUCUGUGUAAUUAAUCCAAAAAAAUAAUAAUAAUAAUAAUAAAAUUAGUCUCCUGCUUCGAUAGAAUUGGAAGGUACAAAUCGCUUAUAUUUAUUGUGAAACUACUAGGAAUACAGAUUGAUUGUCUUCAGUAGCUUUGGACUUUCACUUAUUUCACUUAUUUUAAGUCUUUCCUCUAACUGAUGUGAAAAAUUCUUGUAUCAUUUAAGCUUUGUGUUCUCAUUUUUAGGUAAUGCCGUAAUGGUUUAUUGUUUAUUAAGCAAACUCGGCCCAUUCCUCUACACGAGGGAACCCGUGGCCUGGCAGGAACCCUUCUUUGUCACCAUCUCUCUCUUCUCUCUCUCUCUCUGCAAAUCUAUGCGUUGUCCAUUAGUCUGGACUUUGUGUUCGUCUUCUAACGGCUCCUUACUUCCAAAAUGUCCAAUACCCUAAUCAGAAAUCUUCUUUUUCUGGUACAAAAACGUUUUCUGCAAGCAUCUGCAAUGCCCUUCUCUUCCACCUCUCCAUUGCGCGCCUCCACUUCCUCUUCGUCAUUAACAGCCUUGUGAACUCUUUUGGGAAUCCCUUAGAAUCUGCUCUUUCAGACUCCCUGAAGUGUCAGCUCGACGAGAAUAACCUACGGAGACCUCAGUCUGUACUGGAAGUCUUGAAAACUCACAACUUCAGUGAUACCCAUGUGGCCAGAUUGAUCGCAAAGCGGCCCGCAGUCCUCCAUUGCAGCGUGGGCAAUAAUCUCCAGCCUAAAUUUGAGUGCCUCAUGAAAAAUGGCUUUGUAGGGUACAAUGCAACCAAAUGUGGAUUUCUUAAUAAAAGAGGGUGUGCCUCCUCACAGAGUGGGAAAAAUUAUUACGUUGCAGCCGAGGGCUAUAAUGCAAAAGCAUCAUCAUAUGGUUUAUGCAGUGAAUGCUGUUAAAAAUCUGGGCCUUCAACAACGUCUCGAAUGUUUGUACAUGCUGUUAGAGUGAUGCUAUCAAUGAGUGAGCCUACUUGGAAGAAGAAAAUUGAGCUGAUGAAGAGUUUUGGAUGGAGUGAAGAAGAGAUUUUGUCGGCUUUGGUGCGAGAACCAGUUAUUUUAGCUUGCUCAGAGAAGAAAAUCAAGAAUGUGAUGGAUUUCUGCAUGAACACUGUGAAGUUGGAACUGCAUACUAUAAUUGCGUAACCCAGGUUUCUUUUGUAUGCAGUUGACAAAAGGCUUCGUCCAAGGUAUGAUGUUUUGGAGGUUUUGCAGUCAAAGGAACUGAUUAAUUGGAACAGGAAAAUUGAAUGGGUGUUCGUAUUAAGUGAGAAGGAUUUCCUGAAGAAUUAUAUAGAUAAGUAUGCAGAUGAAGUCUCAGGUUUAUUGGAGAUGUAUCUUGGCGCCAGCAAAGCCAAAAAGAUAGGUACUGCAUAGCAAAAUAGUAAGUUUACAUCAACACUGCAAAACAAAUUGCUAGCUAUGUGAGUUCAUUUCAUGUCAUUGUGGAUAUCGGUUUCUGAAGAUCAUAACUUAGUGGUUUUUCAUCAUAAUUAAGUUCCAUUCCAUUGAUUCUGUCUCUUUUCCCCCUUCUUUUGAUGCAUGUUGUUAAUCACUUCUAACUAUGUAUUUGAACUUCAAAUUGAAGUGACAACUUAACCA